CUAAACUUCCUAAUUUUGCUCCUGUUCCAUUAAAGUGUGCUCACUUCCUACAGCUAUUCUGCCCAAAUUGAAGUCUUCCAACAUCCCAGGGUGCAGUGGCCCC
Molecule: long non-coding RNA, 103 nt
Organism: Gavialis gangeticus (Gharial)
Lineage: Eukaryota; Metazoa; Chordata; Crocodylia; Gavialidae
Exons: 3
Source: RefSeq, a predicted model, not a curated record